AUUGAACGCUGGCGGCAUGCUUUACACAUGCAAGUCGAACGGUAACAGGCCUUCGGGUGCUGACGAGUGGCGAACGGGUGAGUAAUGCAUCGGAACGUACCCAGAGGUGGGGGAUAACGCAGCGAAAGCUGUGCUAAUACCGCAUGUGAUCUGAGGAUGAAAGCGGGGGACCAGCAGCAAUGUUUUGCCUCGGCCCUUUGGAGCGGCCGAUGUCGGAUUAGCUAGUUGGUGGGGUAAAGGCCUACCAAGGCGACGAUCCGUAGCUGGUCUGAGAGGACGACCAGCCACACUGGGACUGAGACACGGCCCAGACUCCUACGGGAGGCAGCAGUGGGGAAUUUUGGACAAUGGGCGCAAGCCUGAUCCAGCAAUGCCGCGUGCGGGAAGAAGGCCUUCGGGUUGUAAACCGCUUUUGGCAGGAACGAAACGGUGUCCGCUAAUACCGGGCGCUAAUGACGGUACCUGCAGAAUAAGCACCGGCUAACUACGUG
This 491-nucleotide ribosomal RNA is filed under the name uncultured bacterium. RNAcentral describes it as "partial 16S ribosomal RNA". It matches the Rfam family "Bacterial small subunit ribosomal RNA", at positions 30 to 507 of the family's 1533-position model. The record is from RNAcentral.